This 428-nucleotide ribosomal RNA is filed under the name uncultured Gaiellaceae bacterium. RNAcentral describes it as "bacterial SSU rRNA". It matches the Rfam family "Bacterial small subunit ribosomal RNA", at positions 355 to 776 of the family's 1533-position model. The record is from RNAcentral. Lineage: Bacteria; Bacillati; Actinomycetota; Thermoleophilia; Gaiellales; Gaiellaceae.
UGGGGAAUCUUGCGCAAUGGGCGAAAGCCUGACGCAGCGACGCCGCGUGAGGGAAGACGGCCUUCGGGUUGUAAACCUCUUUCAGGAGGGACGAAGCUACUCGGGUUAAUAGCCCAGAGGGUGACGGUACCUCCAGAAGAAGCCCCGGCUAACUACGUGCCAGCAGCCGCGGUAAUACGUAGGGGGCAAGCGUUGUCCGGAUUUACUGGGCGUAAAGCGCGUGUAGGCGGCUACACAGGUCCGUUGUGAAAACUGAAGGCUUAACCUUCAGACGUCGACGGAAACCGUGUGGCUAGAGUCCGGAAGAGGAGAGUGGAAUUCCUGGUGUAGCGGUGAAAUGCGCAGAUAUCAGGAAGAACACCAAUGGCGAAGGCAGCUCUCUGGGACGGUACUGACGCUGAGACGCGAAAGCGUGGGGAGCGAACAGG